AACAAAUAUCCACAAAAUACUCCACAGAAUGUUGAAUUACGCCGAAAAUGGAAUAUCAAAUGUGGAAAAUCUUUAUUUACCUUGCGAACUUUGAUUAGC
Molecule: long non-coding RNA, 99 nt
Organism: Cucurbita moschata (crookneck pumpkin)
Lineage: Eukaryota; Viridiplantae; Streptophyta; Magnoliopsida; Cucurbitales; Cucurbitaceae
Exons: 3
Source: RefSeq, a predicted model, not a curated record